RNAcentral lists this transfer RNA (73 nucleotides) under Planctomycetaceae bacterium. RNAcentral's name for it is "tRNA-Lys". It matches the Rfam family "tRNA". Rfam says of the family: Transfer RNA (tRNA) molecules are approximately 80 nucleotides in length. Their secondary structure includes four short double-helical elements and three loops (D, anti-codon, and T loops). Further hydrogen bonds mediate the characteristic L-shaped molecular structure. tRNAs have two regions of fundamental functional importance: the anti-codon, which is responsible for specific mRNA codon recognition, and the 3' end, to which the tRNAs corresponding amino acid is attached (by aminoacyl-tRNA synthetases). tRNAs cope with the degeneracy of the genetic code in two manners: having more than one tRNA (with a specific anti-codon) for a particular amino acid; and 'wobble' base-pairing, i.e. permitting non-standard base-pairing at the 3rd anti-codon position. RNAcentral also lists the same sequence under 1 other name. Lineage: Bacteria; Pseudomonadati; Planctomycetota; Planctomycetia; Planctomycetales; Planctomycetaceae. The record is from RNAcentral.
GCCCCCUUAGCUCAACUGGCAGAGCAACUGACUCUUAAUCAGUAGGUUCGAGGUUCGAGUCCUCGAGGGGGCA